UACGGAGGGUGCGAGCGUUGUCCGGAAUCACUGGGCGUAAAGGGCGCGUAGGCGGCCUGAUAAGUAGGGGGUGAAAUCCUGCGGCUUAACCGCAGGGCUGCCUUCUAAACUGUCAGGCUCGAGCACAGUAGAGGCAGGUGGAAUUCCCGGUGUAGCGGUGGAAUGCGUAGAGAUCGGGAAGAACAUCAGUGGCGAAGGCGGUCUGCUGGGCCGUUGCUGACGCUGAGGCGCGACAGCGUGGGGAGCAAACAGG
RNAcentral lists this ribosomal RNA (253 nucleotides) under uncultured bacterium. RNAcentral describes it as "partial 16S ribosomal RNA". It matches the Rfam family "Bacterial small subunit ribosomal RNA", at positions 524 to 776 of the family's 1533-position model. The record is from RNAcentral.